AGGCCUAACACAUGCAAGUCGAGCGCUCGUAGCAAUACGGGAGCGGCAGACGGGAGAGUAACACGUGGGAACGUACCUUUCGGUUCGGAAUAACCCAGGGAAACUUGGGCUAAUACCGGAUACGUCCGUAAGGAGAAAGAUUUAUCGCCGGAAGAUCGGCCCGCGUCCGAUUAGCUAGUUGGUGAGGUAAUGGCUCACCAAGGCGACGAUCGGUAGCUGGUCCGAGAGGAUGAUCAGCCUCACUGGGACUGAGACACGGCCCAG
This 264-nucleotide ribosomal RNA is filed under the name uncultured bacterium. RNAcentral's name for it is "partial 16S ribosomal RNA". It matches the Rfam family "Bacterial small subunit ribosomal RNA", at positions 46 to 334 of the family's 1533-position model. The record is from RNAcentral.